GGGCCCGCACAAGCGGUGGAGCAUGUGGUUUAAUUCGACGCAACGCGAAGAACCUUACCUGGUCUUGACAUCCUGCGAACUUUCUAGAGAUAGAUUGGUGCCUUCGGGAACGCAGUGACAGGUGCUGCAUGGCUGUCGUCAGCUCGUGUCGUGAGAUGUUGGGUUAAGUCCCGUAACGAGCGCAACCCUUGUCCUUAUUUGCCAUCAUUUAGUUGGGCACUCUAUGGAAACUGCCCGUGAUAAGCGGGAGGAAGGUGUGGAUGACGUCAAGUCAUCAUGGCCCUUACGACCAGGGCUACACACGUGCUACAAUGGGGCGUACAAAGGGUUGCAAUCCCGCGAGGGGGAGCUAAUCCCAUAAAACGUUUCGUAGUCCGGAUCGCAGUCUGCAACUCGACUGCGUGAAGUCGGAAUCGCUAGUAAUCG
Molecule: ribosomal RNA, 426 nt
Filed under: uncultured bacterium
Lineage: Bacteria
Description: bacterial SSU rRNA
Rfam family: Bacterial small subunit ribosomal RNA
Source: RNAcentral